AGAAUCAACGCUGGCGGCGUGCCUAACACAUGCAAGUCGCACGAGAAAGGGACUUCGGUCCUGAGUACAGUGGCGCACGGGUGAGUAACACGUGAAUAAUCUACCUCCGAGUGGGGAAUAACUGAGAGAAAUCUUAGCUAAUACCGCAUAACACUUACGAGUCAAAGCAGCAAUGCGCUUGGAGAGGAGUUCGCGGCAGAUUAGUUAGUUGGCGGGGUAAUGGCCCACCAAGACGAUGAUCUGUAUCCGGCCUGAGAGGGCGCACGGACACACUGGAACUGAAACACGGUCCAGACUCCUACGGGAGGCAGCAGUGGGGAAUUUUGCGCAAUGGGGGAAACCCUGACGCAGCAACGCCGCGUGGAGGAUGAAAUCCCUUGGGAUGUAAACUCCUUUCGAUCGGGAAGAUAAUGACGGUACCGAGAGAAGAAGCCCCGGCUAACUUCGUGCCAGCAGCCGC
This 460-nucleotide ribosomal RNA is filed under the name uncultured bacterium. RNAcentral describes it as "SSU rRNA". It matches the Rfam family "Bacterial small subunit ribosomal RNA", at positions 26 to 518 of the family's 1533-position model. The record is from RNAcentral.